This is a long non-coding RNA of Pristis pectinata (smalltooth sawfish), 473 nucleotides long. RefSeq lists it as uncharacterized. The record is from RefSeq and is a predicted model, not a curated record. Lineage: Eukaryota; Metazoa; Chordata; Chondrichthyes; Rhinopristiformes; Pristidae. The transcript is spliced from 3 exons.
UGAAGUAUUUGGCGUUAAGAGCUUUGAACCUGGGAAAAUGAAAGGUUCUCGGUCUACGAAGAAAUACAGCUGUAUGACAGUCUGACUGAAUGCUCUUGAGAAAAAGUCUACACUCUUUCCAUGCAAAAACAAGCCACCAGAGCAGCCAAGUUAUUAGCAGUAGUAUGGACUUCAUCUUAAGCUUACUACAGAAAACAUCAAAAGGAAGAUAAUAAUUGUCCAGUUCUGGAAAAUGAAGGCAAAUCAAAGUGCUCGGGAACGUUGUUUUACUGUGGACACUUUUCCAUCAGGGAUUCCAUCAAGCUGUCAGUUGCUCAUUUCAUUUACGUCCUUCAGAAAACAUUGGUCUUCGCGCUUGUGUGUGACUGCCUUCGAACCUGGAUCCCCAAGGACUAAAACCAAUAUCCCUUUUAAACCUGAAUAUUACCAUAGGUACCGAAUGGGUCUUUAUUUAUGUUAAUCGAUAGAUUACA